GUACUACUCCCUCCGUCUAAAAAUGCUUGUCGGAGAAAUCGGUAAAAAUGGAUGUAUCUAUGACUAAAUUACGUCUAGAUACAUUUAUUUUAUUAACAAGUGUUUCCGGACGAAAGGAGUACUAA
Triticum aestivum (bread wheat) is the source of this 125-nucleotide non-coding RNA. Lineage: Eukaryota; Viridiplantae; Streptophyta; Magnoliopsida; Poales; Poaceae. The record is from Rfam.